This 76-nucleotide transfer RNA is filed under the name Clostridiales bacterium. RNAcentral's name for it is "tRNA-Thr". It matches the Rfam family "tRNA". From Rfam's summary of the family: Transfer RNA (tRNA) molecules are approximately 80 nucleotides in length. Their secondary structure includes four short double-helical elements and three loops (D, anti-codon, and T loops). The record is from RNAcentral. RNAcentral also lists the same sequence under 1 other name. Lineage: Bacteria; Bacillati; Bacillota; Clostridia; Eubacteriales.
GCUUGCGUAGCUCAGGCGGUAGAGCACUUCAUUGGUAAUGAAGAGGUCAGCAGUUCGAGUCUGCUCGUAAGCUCCA